GACGAACGCUGGCGGCGUGCUUAACACAUGCAAGUCGAACGAUGAAGCCGGAGCUUGCUCCGGUGGAUUAGUGGCGAACGGGUGAGUAACACGUGAGCAAUCUGCCCUUGACUCUGGGAUAACUGCGGGAAACUGUAGCUAAUACCGGAUACGACACCUUGGGGCAUCCCAGGGUGUGGAAAGAAUUUCGGUCAAGGAUGAGCUCGCGGCCUAUCAGCUAGUUGGUGAGGUAACGGCCUACCAAGGCGACGACGGGUAGCCGGCCUGAGAGGGCGACCGGCCACAUUGGGACUGAGAUACGGCCCAGACUCCUACGGGAGGCAGCAGUGGGGAAUAUUGCACAAUGGGCGAAAGCCUGAUGCAGCAACGCCGCGUGCGGGAUGACGGCCUUCGGGUUGUAAACCGCUUUCAGCAGGGACGAAGCGCAAGUGACGGUACCUGCAGAAGAAGCACCGGCUAACUACGUGCCAGCCGCCGCAGUAG
RNAcentral lists this ribosomal RNA (483 nucleotides) under uncultured bacterium. Its description in RNAcentral is "partial 16S ribosomal RNA". It matches the Rfam family "Bacterial small subunit ribosomal RNA", at positions 28 to 523 of the family's 1533-position model. The record is from RNAcentral.